RNAcentral lists this ribosomal RNA (404 nucleotides) under uncultured eukaryote. RNAcentral's name for it is "bacterial LSU rRNA". It matches the Rfam family "Bacterial large subunit ribosomal RNA", at positions 31 to 480 of the family's 2925-position model. The record is from RNAcentral.
GCCUAGGCAGUAAGAGGGCGAUGAAGGACGUUGUAGCAUGCGAUAAGCCGCGGGGAGUUUGCAAACUAACCCCUGAUCCGCGGAUUUCCGAAUGGGGAAACCCACCUGAGAUCACUCAGGUAUCGUGCAGUGAAUACAUAGCUGCAUGAAGCGAACCCGGAGAACUGAAACAUCUAAGUACCCGGAGGAAAAGAAAUCAACCGAGAUUCCCUUAGUAGCGGCGAGCGAACGGGGAUUAGCCCUUAAGUUGUAUAGUGUUAGUGGAACAGUCUGGAAAGUCUGGCGAUACAGGGUGAUAGCCCCGUACACGAAAACCUAUUACAGUGAAAACGAGUAGGUCGGAGCACGUGAAACUUUGACUGAACAGUGGGGGGACCACUCCUCCAAGGCUAAAUACUCCUUAC